Molecule: non-coding RNA, 111 nt
Filed under: unclassified sequences
Description: EGFOA RNA
Rfam family: EGFOA RNA
Source: Rfam by way of RNAcentral
UCCAUCCCAGACCGAGUACCGUCAAAGUCCGCGCAAGCGGAGGCAGUCGGAAUCGAGGCCGCGCGGGCGGCCACGUCGUAAAGCUUUACCUGGGGACGUCCGAGAUUCCGU